This 313-nucleotide ribosomal RNA is filed under the name uncultured Chara. RNAcentral's name for it is "partial large subunit ribosomal RNA". It matches the Rfam family "Eukaryotic large subunit ribosomal RNA", at positions 40 to 350 of the family's 3401-position model. The record is from RNAcentral. Lineage: Eukaryota; Viridiplantae; Streptophyta; Charophyceae; Charales.
AUAUUAUUACGCGGAGGAAAAGAAACUAACAAGGAUUCCCCUAGUAACGGCGAGUGAAGCGGGAAGAGCUCAAGUUUAAAAUCCAUAUGCUUCGCAUGUGGAGUUGUAGUCUCGAGACAGGCUGUCUGCGGUGACGUCGGUACAAGUGCCUUGGAAGAGGUCUUCAGAGAGGGUGACAAACCCGUUGCUGACCGACAGAUCGCCGCUUUCGACGUUUGUUCACAGAGUCGGAUUGCUUGGGAGUGCAGUCCUAAUUGGGUGGUAAAUUUCAUCUAAAGCUAAAUAUCGACGAGAGACCGAUAGCGCACAAGUA